GGGGCAGGACCUUUCCGGGACGUCGGGAUCGGGUGCUUUUAAGAUCGGAAUUUCGGGAUGACGGGAUAUUUAAUUCUUAUUAAAUUCGGGACCUCGGGAUUUCAUGUUUGUACAUGUAAGCCCGGGAUAUCGGGAUCAGGAACCCUACGACACCACCACCACCCUUUAUGAAUGUUCAUAAUAUACAGUUAAGCGCUAAAACUAUUCAUGUGUUAUUAAAAUUAAUAGAGAACAUUUUUUGGGGGGAAAAGGAGGAGCCGGGCUAGAAAAACAAUUGUUCUGUCCCAAAGUACCUAUGACUUUUGAUACCUUUUCUGAAAUUCUCCAGUCUUUAAAUCCUUAACAUAAAUUCAUUGAUUACAAAAAAAAAGAUGUGGUAUGAUUGCCAAUGAGACAGCUCUCCAUAAGAGACCAAAAUGACACCAAAAUUAACAACUAUAGGUCACCUUACGGCCUUCAACAAUGAGCAAAGGCAAUACCAAUAGUCAGAUAUAAAAGGCCACGAAAUGACAAUGUAAAACAAUUCAAAUGAGAAAACUAACGGCCUUAUGUGUGUACAAAAAAAAUAUAUAACACAUAAACAAACGACAACCGCAGAAUUACAGGCUCCUGCCUUGAAUGUUCAUAAUAUACUAAAUGUAUGUUCAUAAUGAAAUAAAUAGAAAACCAAAAAUUGGGAAUUUUGGAGGAGGGAUACAAAAAAUGUUUUCCUAUCCCCAAGUACCUAUGACUUUUGAUACUUUUCCUAAAAUUCUCAAGUCAUUAAAUAUUUUACAAAAUUCUUCCUACAACACUUUACAUACUUUCAACC
Molecule: long non-coding RNA, 811 nt
Filed under: Mytilus galloprovincialis (Mediterranean mussel)
Lineage: Eukaryota; Metazoa; Mollusca; Bivalvia; Mytilida; Mytilidae
Source: RNAcentral